GACGCAGACGCGAUUUAUGAACGUGCCUGGUCGGAA
RNAcentral lists this small RNA (36 nucleotides) under Acididesulfobacillus acetoxydans. Its description in RNAcentral is "CRISPR spacer". The record is from RNAcentral. Lineage: Bacteria; Bacillati; Bacillota; Clostridia; Eubacteriales; Peptococcaceae.